GACGAACGCUGGCGGCGUGCUUAACACAUGCAAGUCGAGCGGAAAGACCCGGAGUUUGUUGCUUGGACGAGUGGCGAACGGGUGAGUAACACAUGAGGAACAUGCCCCUGACUGUGUGAUAAAACCUCGGGACAGCGGCUAAUACAGGAUAUGAGAUACUGAAGCGUGGGGGUGAUUAGUGAAAUUCGGCGGUUUGGGAUGGUAUAGCUGCUUAUCCGCUUGUUGGGGAGGUAGUGGCUGACCAAGGCUACGAAGGGUAGCCGGCCUGAGAGGGUGACCGGCCACAAUGGGACUGAGAUACGGCCCAGACUCCUACGGGAGGCAGCAGUGGGGAAUAUUGCACAAUGGGCGGAAGCCUGAGGCAGCGACGCUGCGUGCGGGAUGACGGCCUUCGGGUUGUAAACCGCUUUCGACGGUGAUGAAGCGAUAGUGACGGUACCUGGUGAAGAAGCACCGGCUAACUACGUG
Molecule: ribosomal RNA, 468 nt
Filed under: uncultured bacterium
Lineage: Bacteria
Description: partial 16S ribosomal RNA
Rfam family: Bacterial small subunit ribosomal RNA
Source: RNAcentral